This 376-nucleotide unclassified non-coding RNA is filed under the name uncultured bacterium. RNAcentral describes it as "contains 16S-23S intergenic spacer region". The record is from RNAcentral.
UCCGGUUUGGCACCGGCAGUCUUCCUAGAGUCCCCGCCAUUACGCGCUGGCAACUAAGAACAGGGGUUGCGCUCGUUGCGGGAUUUAACCCAACAUCUCACGACACGAGCUGACGACAACCAUGCACCACCUGUGCACGGCCCUUACGGACCCCCCAUCUCUGGGAGAUUUCCGUGCAUGUCAAGCCUAGGUAAGGUUCUUCGCGUCGCAUCGAAUUAAGCCACAUGCUCCGCCGCUUGUGCGGGUCCCCGUCAAUUCCUUUGAGUUUCAGCCUUGCGGCCGUACUCCCCAGGCGGGGCACUUAAUGCGUUAGCGCCGGCACCCAGGGGGUCGCUCCCCCAGGCACCUAGUGCCCAUCGUUUACGGCGUGGACUAC